Non-coding RNA from Acanthosepion pharaonis, 113 nucleotides. Lineage: Eukaryota; Metazoa; Mollusca; Cephalopoda; Sepiida; Sepiidae. The record is from the annotation of a GenBank genome assembly.
UUACGAUCAUAUCACGUUGAAACACCGGUUCACGUAUGAUCAAAGAAAUUAAGAAACUUCUUGCCUGGUCAGUAACUAGAUGGGUGACCUCUUGGGAAUACCACGCGUUGAAA